Molecule: ribosomal RNA, 301 nt
Filed under: uncultured bacterium
Lineage: Bacteria
Description: partial 16S ribosomal RNA
Rfam family: Bacterial small subunit ribosomal RNA
Source: RNAcentral
CAGUAGCCGCGGUAAUACGAAGGGGGCUAGCGUUGCUCGGAAUUACUGGGCGUAAAGGGAGCGUAGGCGGACAUUUAAGUCAGGGGUGAAAUCCCAGAGCUCAACUCUGGAACUGCCUUUGAUACUGGGUGUCUUGAGUGUGAUAGAGGUAUGUGGAACUCCGAGUGUAGAGGUGAAAUUCGUAGAUAUUCGGAAGAACACCAGUGGCGAAGGCGACAUACUGGAUCAUUACUGACGCUGAGGCUCGAAAGCGUGGGGAGCAAACAGGAUUAGAUACCCGUGUAGUCCCUGUCUCUUAUAC